Molecule: ribosomal RNA, 533 nt
Filed under: uncultured bacterium
Lineage: Bacteria
Description: partial 16S ribosomal RNA
Rfam family: Bacterial small subunit ribosomal RNA
Source: RNAcentral
UGGGGAAUUUUGGACAAUGGGCGAAAGCCUGAUCCAGCCAUGCCGCGUGCAGGAUGAAGGCCUUCGGGUUGUAAACUGCUUUUGUACGGAACGAAAAGACUCUGGUUAAUACCUGGGGUCCAUGACGGUACCGUAAGAAUAAGCACCGGCUAACUACGUGCCAGCAGCCGCGGUAAUACGUAGGGUGCAAGCGUUAAUCGGAAUUACUGGGCGUAAAGCGUGCGCAGGCGGUUAUAUAAGACAGAUGUGAAAUCCCCGGGCUCAACCUGGGAACUGCAUUUGUGACUGUAUAGCUAGAGUACGGCAGAGGGGGAUGGAAUUCCGCGUGUAGCAGUGAAAUGCGUAGAUAUGCGGAGGAACACCGAUGGCGAAGGCAAUCCCCUGGCCUGUACUGACGCUCAUGCACGAAAGCGUGGGGAGCAAACAGGAUUAGAUACCCUGGUAGUCCACGCCCUAAACGAUGUCAACUGGGUUGUUGGGUCUUCACUGACUCAGUAACGAAGCUAACGCGUGAAGUUGACCGCCUGGGGAGU